AUUGAACGCUGGCGGCAGGCCUAACACAUGCAAGUCGAGCGGAUGAAGGGAGCUUGCUCCUGGAUUCAGCGGCGGACGGGUGAGUAAUGCCUAGGAAUCUGCCUGGUAGUGGGGGAUAACGUCCGGAAACGGGCGCUAAUACCGCAUACGUCCUGAGGGAGAAAGUGGGGGAUCUUCGGACCUCACGCUAUCAGAUGAGCCUAGGUCGGAUUAGCUAGUUGGUUGGGUAAAGGCCUACCAAGGCGACGAUCCGUAACUGGUCUGAGAGGAUGAUCAGUCACACUGGAACUGAGACACGGUCCAGACUCCUACGGGAGGCAGCAGUGGGGAAUAUUGGACAAUGGGCGAAAGCCUUAUCCAGCCAUGCCGCGUGUGUGAAGAAGGUCUUCGGAUUGUAAAGCACUUUAAGUUGGGAGGAAGGGCAGUAAGUUAAUACCUUGCUGUUUUGACGUUACCAACAGAAUAAGCACCGGCUAACUUCGUG
This 484-nucleotide ribosomal RNA is filed under the name uncultured bacterium. RNAcentral describes it as "partial 16S ribosomal RNA". It matches the Rfam family "Bacterial small subunit ribosomal RNA", at positions 30 to 507 of the family's 1533-position model. The record is from RNAcentral.